This is a non-coding RNA of Gossypium hirsutum (cotton), 132 nucleotides long. The record is from Rfam. NCBI's taxonomy places the organism in Eukaryota, Viridiplantae, Streptophyta, Magnoliopsida, Malvales, Malvaceae.
UGUUAAAAAUUCUAUCCAUUUGUGCUGUUAAAAACUGGUUUGACUGACAAAAUAACCAAACAAUGACAGUGUACCUCAUGCUGAUGUACACGAACCAAUUUUUAAUAGCAAAAAUGAAUAAAAUUUUUAACA